GAGGAUAUAGCUCAAGUGAUAAAGCGUGUGCUUAACAUGCACAAAGUCCUGAGUUCAAUCCCCAGUACCACCU
This 73-nucleotide transfer RNA is filed under the name Camelus bactrianus (Bactrian camel). It matches the Rfam family "tRNA". Rfam says of the family: Transfer RNA (tRNA) molecules are approximately 80 nucleotides in length. Lineage: Eukaryota; Metazoa; Chordata; Mammalia; Artiodactyla; Camelidae. The record is from Rfam by way of RNAcentral. RNAcentral also lists the same sequence under 2 other names.